Molecule: ribosomal RNA, 255 nt
Filed under: uncultured bacterium
Lineage: Bacteria
Description: partial 16S ribosomal RNA
Rfam family: Bacterial small subunit ribosomal RNA
Source: RNAcentral
CACGUAGGGCGCGAGCGUUGUCCGGAAUUAUUGGGCGUAAAGAGCUCGUAGGCGGCCUGUUGCGUCCGCUGUGAAAGCCCCGGGGCUUAACCCCGGGGUCUGCAGUGGAUACGGGCAGGCUAGAGGUAGGUAGGGGAGAAUGGAAUUCCCGGUGUAGCGGUGAAAUGCGCAGAUAUCGGGAGGAACACCGGUGGCGAAGGCGGUUCUCUGGGCCUUACCUGACGCUGAGGAGCGAAAGCGUGGGGAGCGAACAGG